GACGAACGCUGGCGGCAUGCCUAAUACAUGCAAGUCGAGCGAACAGAUGAAGUGCUUGCACUUCUGACGUUAGCGGCGAACGGGUGAGUAACACGUAAGGAAUCUACCUAUAAGCGGGGGAUAACAUUCGGAAACGGGUGCUAUUACCGCAUAAUAUCUUCUUCCGCAUGGAAGGAGAUUGAAAGACGGCUCUGCUGUCACUUAUAGAUGACCUUGCGGUGCAUUAGUUAGUUGGUGGGGUAACGGCCUACCAAGACGAUGAUGCAUAGCCGACCUGGGAGGGUGAUCGGCCACAUUGGGACUGGGACACGGCCCAAACUCCUACGGGAGGCAGCAGUAGGGAAUCUUCCGCAAUGGGCGAAAGCCUGACGGAGCAAUGCCGCGUGAGUGAAGAAGGCCUUCGGGUCGUAAAACUCUGUUAUAAGAGAAGAACAAAUUGUAGAGUAACUGCUACAGUCUUGACGGUAUCUUAUCAGAAAGCCACGGCUAACUACGUGCCAGCCGCCGCCGUAA
Molecule: ribosomal RNA, 513 nt
Filed under: uncultured bacterium
Lineage: Bacteria
Description: partial 16S ribosomal RNA
Rfam family: Bacterial small subunit ribosomal RNA
Source: RNAcentral